UACGGAGGGUGCAAGCGUUGUCCGGAAUCACUGGGCGUAAAGGGCGCGUAGGCGGCUCAUGAAGGCUGUGGUGAAAGUCCGGGGCUCAACCUCGGAUCGGCCGUGGCGACUCGUGGGCUGGAGCACUGUAGAGGCGGGUGGAAUUUCGGGUGUAGCGGUGGAAUGCGUAGAGAUCCGGAAGAACACCAGUGGCGAAGGCGGCCCGCUGGGCAGUGGCUGACGCUGAGGCGCGACAGCGUGGGGAGGCGAACAGG
Molecule: ribosomal RNA, 254 nt
Filed under: uncultured bacterium
Lineage: Bacteria
Description: partial 16S ribosomal RNA
Rfam family: Bacterial small subunit ribosomal RNA
Source: RNAcentral